RNA transcript from Armigeres subalbatus, 484 nucleotides. It is a transcript of the gene named protein stunted, with no coding region annotated. The transcript has 5 exons. Lineage: Eukaryota; Metazoa; Arthropoda; Insecta; Diptera; Culicidae. The record is from RefSeq and is a predicted model, not a curated record.
AUAAGCACAAAGCAGCAGAAUCCAUCUACCACCAAACGUCAAUCUCAUUCAUUUGGUGUGCGAUCGCUUGCGGCAGACAUUCUAGAUUUUUCCAUUCUUUCCGUGAAGCCGGAAAAGAUCCCUUCAAAAUGACUGCCUGGAGAGCUGCCGGUUUGAACUACAUCAACUACUCUAACAUUGCCGCUCGGUUGGUGCGCAAAGCGCUGAAGCCAGAACAGCGGGCACAGGCCUCUCGACGAGACGAGUCCCACAUCAAGUUCACCAAAUGGGUCAACGGAAAGCCAGAAAAUGAAAAGUAAACAAUUGUCAAUUAGUACUACUCUGCUUAAGUUUCCGCUCUUUGGGAUAGGUAUUAAUAUUAACAAGCAGGGAUUUUAGGCAGCAAUUGAAAAUUAAAUCCGGAAGUAAGUCAUCUCUAUUCGAUUGAGUUCGUUCAGUAUCAAUAAAAGUCAAGAUCCUACGAUGAACGGAAGGUAAAUUUUAA